UCCUACGGGGCGCAGCAGUGAGGAAUAUUGGUCAAUGGGCGAGAGCCUGAACCAGCCAAGUCGCGUGAAGGAUGACGGCCCUAUGGGUUGUAAACUUCUUUUGUCAGGGAGCAAUUGAGUCCACGUGUGGGCUUAGCGAGAGUACCCGGAGAAAAAGCAUCGGCUAACUCCGUGCCAGCAGCCGCGGUAAUACGGAGGAUGCGAGCGUUAUCCGGAUUUAUUGGGUUUAAAGGGUGCGUAGGCGGGCUGUUAAAUCAGCGGUCAACUGUCGGGGCUCAACCCCGGCCUGCCGUUGAAACUGGCGG
This 305-nucleotide ribosomal RNA is filed under the name uncultured bacterium. RNAcentral's name for it is "bacterial SSU rRNA". It matches the Rfam family "Bacterial small subunit ribosomal RNA", at positions 337 to 639 of the family's 1533-position model. The record is from RNAcentral.